RNA transcript from Hyla sarda, 11391 nucleotides. RefSeq lists it as uncharacterized. NCBI's taxonomy places the organism in Eukaryota, Metazoa, Chordata, Amphibia, Anura, Hylidae. The record is from RefSeq and is a predicted model, not a curated record. The transcript is spliced from 2 exons.
GCGAUCUAACACUCAUCCCCUAUCCUUAGGAUAGGGCAUAAUUAGUACAUCCCAGAGUUCUCCUUUAUGGGGUUAAGCACAGGCCCAGACUGCUGAUAGCAGCCUUGAUCAUCCAGCUAUAAUGCGUGCUCAGCUCCUGAGAGAGCGUCAUAGAACAGGAGCAGGCACAGGGCGUACAAUUACAACCUGCGUCCUUAAGGGGUUAAAGGGAAACUGACAACUGGGUGAUCUGCACUAAAGGCCAUACAUGUGGUUGAACCAUAGACUUAGAGCCUCUGGACAGGCACAAAGACCACCUGUUAUAUGUGAAAUAUGGAACAAGGAUGGAACAUAAUUUUACAAAAACACUGCUUAAAUCCUCACGUGUAAAAGCACCUUUACGGUAGUUCAGGUGCAAUGUAAUAAAAGUUUGGGAAGAUUUUGGUUUAGUAUCUGAUAACAGCUGUGUGAUAGCCAGGUACGGGAUGGUGUGUCCCUGUACUUCUCCUGUCCUGUCAGACAGAGUCUCUCCAUGUCCCCAGGGCCCCCUUUAUUUGUUAUCCCCUAUGUACAUAAGUUGUAUAAUAAAAUGUACUGUUUCUUUAAUAGCUGUUACCAUGUGAUUGUUACCCAGGAGGCACUAGUGGCCAGGUGACCCCCCAAGUGACCUAUGGGUUCCUUGCACACACCCCUAUAAAACCAGGCUACAAGCUCUCUCUCUUCCAGCAUUCUUGCUCCUGCUGAGGUCCAGUGCAGUCGUCUGAGUGUGUCCAGAGCAUUGGAGGCCCCAAGCCUAAAGUCUGCAGCCACAAAGUCAGCUCAGGUAAGCUCAAAGUCAUCUUCAUGUCAAUUGUCAAGUCAGUCAAGUCAAGUCUUCUAUAUAGUCACCCUAACCUGCGCUAAAGUGUCUCUACAUACUACAAGUCCCAGCAAGCCUGCGAGGUCCCCCUGUGUCACCUCCUUGGGAUUCUGGCUGUACUGCAUAGACUGUGUCAUCUGUCUAACCUCAGUAAAGCUACCGUUUGUCCGUAACUUGGCAUCGGUGUCUUCUUUGCCCCCCGUGCCUAGCCCAGGACCAGCGGUAUUCCCUUCGGGUGGUUAAAGCGUACCUGUCAUAGUGCAAAAAAAAGUGAUAUGUUACUCGGGACCCAAUCCUGAUCAUGUGCAUAUACAUUUUACGUGUCUGGGACCUAUAUAUCCAGAGAUAUAAGCAUUUAUCUGCUGGUGAGUUACUUUUUCAUUGUGCUGGCUGGAGGGGGCGUGUCAGUCUGUCUCCCUCACAGGAGCAAGCCUGUGCAGUCAGCCAAUCAGUACUCUCUACUCUGUAACCCUUUCCUCUCUGGUUUUAUGCUGUGUCAUGUGUCAGAGGAAGAUACUUGGAGGUUGCCUGCAGUAAUCAGAAGACAUUAUCGUGAAUUCAUAACAGGAUAAAAUGUAUAAAUAUAAAAAUAGAUCUUUAUAAAAUUAGUGCAAGGAUUUUUUAGAUAAAAGUACAGCAUUUUUAUGACUACAUGUUCUAUCUGUUUUAUCUUCUCCUAGUAAAGCUGGAUGCUAAUCAGACUCCUGAAUGUCUGAUCAACUUCUUUGUCAUUCAAGAGUCCGAGAAAGCUUUAACUAUUUCAGCAUGCUGGGAGUUGUAGUUUAGUAACAACUGAAGCUGCAAUGUUUGUAAAUAACUGUGUUAGAGCAGUGUUGCCUCCAGCUGUUUUAAAACUACAGCUCCCAGCAUGUCCACACAUCCUUUAUCUGUAGUUUUGCAUACACAAUAGAAAUCUAUACUGGAUACCGGUAUGCUUUACAGCCGGUAUCCAGUGUGCUGUAAAAUCUAGACUAGUCUGUCUGGCUAAAAGACAGGCGACCCCUAGUGGUGGCUAUUUUGAGCUUGAACUUCAGGUGAAAACGUAAAAAUUUUUUAACAGGUGUAUAUUGCGAAAUGUCAUAUUAUAAUGAGUCCUGCAAUAUAUGAAACGUUUUUAACAAUGACAGUGCCUCUUUAAGGCUAAACCAUGCCCUGGCAUCACGACAAAAAGUGGUUAAUAACAUCUGCCCCUUGGGUUAUAACAUCUACCCUGCAUUGCACCCCGCAGACACCACAACUUUUGGAGUCCUACGAACAGGAUACGGGUUUGUGCCAUAUGCCACAAGUCCUCCCCCCUAGUCUGUACUGUGUACAAUACUGUUAGCAAAAGACGCAUGCUGAUGCGGCAGAAGUUUGCGCCAGAAAGUUUACUAAUGGUGCUUGUGAAAUACAGGGGGAGGUGAAGGAAAGACUGUUUGCUGCUGUGGAGUGUAAAGAGUCGGUACCUGAAAGGGUUAAAUAGGUCCAUGUUACCUGCGUGCGCGAGUGGUCGCAGCUCUGCCCCGUCUGUCCCCAGCGGUGACGCCUCUUCAGUGUUGCGAGGAUGAACCAAAGAUCCGCCCUGUGUUGCACAGCCAUAUUGCAGGUUCCGGCGGCUGCGGCCGGCUCUUCUGUCUACUACCCGGCACCUGCUGCAGCACAGACUCUGGAAAUACCUUCGGGCAUCAGUAUCCAGUCUCUGGUGCCGGUAAAUAGCCACAUUAACCUCCUAGUGCCCAACUAUAUUUCCCGGUACCUGCAAAAUAGAGGGGGAGCGCCCCCAGAGGGCUCCCACCAUGCCAAGAUUAGGCCACUGUAGCACCUCAACCAUCAUCUUAAAGCGACAUCCCACUCAAUUCAUCUUAAAGUGACAGUGCACUCAAAUCAUCUUAAAGUGACUGCGCUCUCAAUUCUUCUUUAAGUGACAGUGCACUCAAUUAUUCUUAAAGUGACAACACACUCAAAAAGUUUACAGGAUGUCAGAACUCAGCUCUCCAGAUCAAUCAGGCGACAGUGCUCCUUCAUCUCCAGCAGUGAGGUCAUCACCUGCCCCAGCAGCCAGGAGGAUCUUGCCAGCCCUGCCUGUAGCCAACAUCAACAAUCUUGAUGUUCCAGCAUCUGCACGGGUAUUCGUGCGGAACCCUGUCCUCCCUACCUACAAUGGAGACCCCUUCACCCUGAGAGAUUUCAAGGAAAGGAUUGAGCUUGUCUUUUACUCUUUCCCUCCUAAUAAACAGGUGCAAUUGCUCACAGGACAACUACAGGGAUCAGCGUUAGAAGAAGUCCGCACCUAGCCAGGUACGUCUCCGGCUGUAUGAAAGGCGACAGAAGCCAGGUGAGACCUUGAGAGUGUAUGCUGUAGCCUUACAGAAUGCCCUAGAGACUGUCCAAAAAUUUGAAAUUAGAUGGUUUAACACCCGAGCAGGGCAACAAAGCAUUAAUGGGCAGAUUUAUUGAUGGGGCCCAUAACAAGUAGGACAAGGCCCAAAUGAGAAUGUUAGCAGUCCAAAACUCCAAUAUGUAAUUUUCUGCUUUUAAAAAGACUAGCUAUUCAAGUAAUUGAGUCCGGGACUGAGUCUAAAGAUAUUUGUACUCCCCUUACACCUGCUCAGGACCCCUCAGGGGUGACAGUCAGGCCUAUAGCGCCCCGUUCAACUGUACCGACUGCAGUCCAAGCAACCCUGUCAGUCACUACAGAUUCAGACCUACAGAGUAUUAGACAGGACAUUGAACAAUUGACUAAGGUUAUCAGGGAGCUUGCCAACCGGCCUGCUCCACUCUCCCUUGAGCAAUGCUUGCCUAGAAAAUUGCCUUCUACUUCUGCCCCGUGUGAUCCCAGUUACUGUGCUCCUUCACCCGCUAGGUAUUCUGGGAGUAAAAGACCCUUCUGUACUAACUGUAACAAGUCUGGCUACUGGACAAUACACUGCUGGGGUUUAAACGGGAUUUCCUCUGGGGUCAAGGACCGGCCCCCAGGAAAACAGCCAGCAGUCCCAACUUCAGAACGACCUAAGUCAGGACUCUCACUUUAUGUCUCCUCCUGCCCCUAUGUAACAGUUAUUGUAGAAGGUGUACUGUUGGAGGCAUUGAUAGAUACAGGGUCACAAAUGUCUACUAUACCUAAAAAAAAAAAUUUUUAUGAGCACUGGGAUGCUAGUUUAUUGUGUGAGCCUGAUAAUGUUGACUUUAGAGUAGUGGCGGGUAACGGGCAACCAAUACACAGACAUGGAUAUUUGGAGCCAACCAUUCAGUUGGGAAAGCAUGUACUUAGAGGGCAGGGAGUGAUUGUAACUGAUGUGGCAGAUAAGGGAUCUGCUGAGUUUAAAAUGGGAAUGAACAUUAUGAAAAACUGUUUUGCUAAAACAGUAGAUGCCUUGCAUGUCUCUCUUUCCCAUAUGUCUCCUUCAGGCCAGCGGGCUGCGCAGCACCAAUUAAAAGUUCUACAGGCGGAGCAGAAGUUUGCCAACAAGCAAAGUGAAAUCUGUAGAGUACGAAUUCAAAACAUCAGGUUGGUGACCUUGCAACCCAACACAGAGACCAUCAUCUGGUGCCGUGCACGUCCUGGAGUAAGGAACAAGGACUAUCAAGCUCUGCUGGAGCCUAUGCAAUUGGGAGAUCAUCCCCUUGUCCGAGCUGCGAGAAACCUUGUCAAAGUUACCAAAGGGAGAGUUCCAGUCCGGUUAGUCAAUCUGUCUGAUGUUGCUACUGUAUUAUCUACAUAUACUCCAGUAGCCCAGCUGUAUCUCCUAGAGUCAAGGGACAUCCUAACAGAACGCAAGAUGGCCCAAGAGAUUGCGGCCCAAGUGACUGAAGGAUCCGGUACAUGUCCUCCUGAGCCCUGGUGGGUGCAACUCCAAGUAGGAGAAGAUAAUUCCCCAAGGGAUCAAGUCAAGGGAGUCCUCAACAUCGCCAAAAGGUACCACAAGGUUUUUAGUAUACACCCCACAGACUUUGGACAUACUUCUAUGAUCCAAUACAGAAUCCUCACCGACGACAGCCCACCAAUUAAAGAAAGGCAUUGCCCGGUCGUGCCAGGCAUGUAGGCGGACGUCAUGCAAGAGAAUCAGAGUCCCUGGCCAGCACCCCUUGUUCUGGUCAAGAAAAGAGAUGAAACUAUCCGCUUUUGUGUUGACUACAGGAAGCUGAACAACGUCACACAUAAGGAUGCUUAUCCACUGCUAAAAAUUUAAGAUGUCACUCACAGCUCUCGGGUCGGCUGCUUACUUCUCCACCCUGUACUUAACCAGCGGAUAUUGGCUAGUGCCUAUGGCUUUUAAAGACGGAGAGAAGACUGCCUUUGUGACACCCAUGGGACUGUUCGAGUUUAGGAGUAUGCCAUUUGGGCUAUGUAAUGCCCCUGCUACAUUCCAGAGUUUGAUGGAGCGGUGCCUGGGCCAUCUGAAUUUUCAAAGUGUCCUAUUGUACCUGGACGAUGUCAUUGUGUAUUCCAAGUCCUACCAGGAACACCUCAGUCAUCUGUCAGACGUCUUCUAAGUCCUGAUCAAGCAUGGGCUGAAGAUCAAGCCGUCAAAUUUGCCGUAAUUUGCCGUAAUUUGCUUAAACCUCAGGUACACUACCUAGAUCAUGUUGUCAGCACUGAGGGAGUCCAUCCCAAUCUUGAAAAAGUGGAGGUUGUCAAUAACUGUCCUGCCCCCUGCACGGUGAAAGAUAUCAGGAGCUUCCUGGGAUUUGCCGGCUACUACCGCCACUUCAUUCCCCUCUUCGCCCAGAUUGCAGAACCCCUCGUAGCUCUCCUUCAGGUACGACGAAGGAGAACUACAGUGGAAGACUAUCUUUUGAAUGGGCCGAGGAGCAAGAGACAGCGUUCCGAGCUCUUAAACAUCUGAUGACAGAACCACCCAUCCUGGCGUAUCCAGACUACAGUUAGCCGUUCUGGCUGUAUACUGAUGCCAGCUUCGAAGGUCUGGGGCCUGUCCUGUCCCAAGUUCAAGAAGGGCAAGAGUGAGUGAUAGCCUAUGCCAGUCGUAAACCUGCGAGGAGCAGAAAAAAACAAGGCAAACUACAGCUUCUUCAAGCUGGAACUUCUCGCCCUCAUAUGGGACAUGACUGAAAAGUUUAAGGACUACUUGGCUGCCACGCCCUUCAGUGUCUACACGCAUAAUAACCGUUGACUCAUCUGAAUACUGCCAAGUUGGGUGCCAUCGAGCAGCUUUGGGCCUCAAGAUGGGCCAAUUACAGUUUCACCAUCAAGUACAGGAGCGGCAAGUCAAAUUUCAACGCUGAUGUGCUGUCUCCGAUGACCCCAGCGAAGAACCACCUGUCGAAGACGAGUGGGAAUACGUGGAGAUGCCCCCAUUUUACCAGAAGUUUGUGAAUCAGAAGGUUAAGACCGCCCUUAAGGACGUUGAACCAAGGUCCGAAAAAGUUCAAGAAGACCUAUGCACCUGGAAGAGUCUACAAGACAAAAGUCGACUCAUGGGGGAUCUGUUGGACUACCUUCUGACAAAAAAGGUACCAACCCGUCUACGCCAGGCCCAGUGUGACUAUGGCGACACAGGGAGCGACUGUUCAUGCUCAAGGGACUGUUGUACCGAAAUUCUUUGGAUCCGGUCUCUGGUGAUAGACCUCAUCAGAAUUUUGUUCCCCGAAGAGAUGCUGCGAUGGUCCUCAACGCAUAUCAUGAUCAAUCGGGACACUUUGGAGUCCACAAGACCGAGGCUACUGUCAGACAAAGAUUCUACUGGAUUGGAAUGCGGAGCGACAUUGAGAAAUGGUGCAGUGAGUGUGCAGUCUGCAACGUCACUAAGAAUGCGUGCAAGGACGCAAGAGCACCCCUCCAUUCCAUCCAGAGGGAAAGGCCUAAUCAGUUGGUCGCGCAAGACCAUGGCAAGUUGUCUCCUACCCGGUCCGGGUACACUUAUGCUCUCACCAUGGUGGAUCACUACUUCAAAUGUCUAGACCUCACAGCCAAGACAGCGGCCCAGAUGUACUACUCCAAUUGGGUGCAAAUCCUUGGGUGUCCGCAGUCUUUCCUAACGGACCGUGGAACGGCCUUGGAGGCCCAACUCUUCCAGGAGCUGUGUCAGUUCCACGCCUGUAAGAAACUUCGGACUACUGCUUACCACCCUCAAGGGAACGGGCUCUGUGAGCGCAUAAAUCAAGUCUUCAUCCACAUGUUGCGAGCAGCUUCUGUAUCCAAGCAUGAAGAGUGGCCCCGAUUGUUGCCCGAAUUGUUGGAGAUUUAUAACAACACGGUUUAUUGUUCUACAAGGAACACCCCUUUCUACCUGAUGAUGGGGUGUCAUGGGCAGCUGCCGAAGGACCGGGCAUUCAAUAACUACCCGCAAGCCUCCAUGGAGUGGGUCUCUCACCAUCAAAGAAGGAGCCAAGAAGCAAAAGAGAUUGUUGGCAAAAAGAUGGGCAAGGCUCAACAAAGAUAACAGCAAGAUUAUAACCGCCAUGCCUCCGCCAAACCCCUCCAGCUAGGUGACAAAGUCUGGCUGCGGAAGUUCCCGAGAACUCAUAAACUAGACUCUAUCUGGGAGACAGAACCAUACACAGUGAUGGCCGUACCCUAUCCAUACUCUGACGUGUAUAAGGUAAAAAAAAUCUGGGAACGAGCCGCAAGUUGUCCAUCGUAACAGAAUCAAGCUGUGUCUCAAGGAAGACCUAUCCUUGCUCCCAGCACCUUCUCCACCAGGUGUCAUACCUGCAAGGGAGUAUGUGACGGGCGAGGGAAUCCACCCAUCCAUGGAUGUCCCUAUGUCCUCCCCAAGGCAACCACCAGUCUUCUGUAUCUCGCCAAACCCGGGACCUGUUCAACCAACCUUAGUCGCCACACCAGUCCUGUCACCGUUGGCACCAAUCUAUACCCUAAUCUCCAGAUCACCUGUCUCACCAGUGUCUCUGCCAACAAGUCCAAGUCCUUACAGUCCAGAACCGCUACCUACUCCAGCGUUCGAUGAGGGAGAGCCUGUUGCAAUUCCAAUCGAGUCAAGAGCUCUCGAAGAAGUAGGCAUUCCUGAAUCCCAAAAGGUGGUGCUGCGUAGGUCCCAACGGUCCACUCAAGGCCAAGUUCCAUAGUCCACUGACACCACGUUAAGUCAUGCACGCAUGUCUAUUAUCACAUUAGGGCUGUAGCAUUUAUCACAGUACCAGUACACAAAAUGUUUGUUAUGUGUAAUGUCUAAUAUUUUCAUGUGUCCACGUUCCCAGGAUACUUUACUGGCUAGAAGGUAUUCCUGUUAACUCACAGCGCACGUACAAAAAUAAGAUAACAAAUGUCUAAUGUUGCCUAGUAAUGCAUAGAGUUCUAGGGGAUGUGUGUCCAACCGAGGGACCCCAGUAGCCAAGGCAUUGGGUAAAAAGCCUCUGGCAGCCCAAUCUGAAAGUCAUGUGCAUUGUUAUGUAUAUUGUCCUAUAGUCGUAUUCCUAAAGCAGUUACUAGGUCUAAUAACCCUCACAUGUUUUUAGCGUGUAAGGACAUUUUAUCGUAGACUCUGUGGCCCCUGUGGUCAUUCUGGUCCUCCGCCCUCCAGGACUGGACGUCGAGGACGACUCCAUUAAAGAGGGGGGAUUUGUGGUGGACCAGUAUGGGAUGGUGUGUCCCUGUACUUCUCCUGCCCUGUCAGGCAGAGUCUCUCCAUGUCCCCAGGGCCCACUUUAUGUGUUAUCCCCUAUGUACAUAAUUUGAAUAAUAAAAUGUAUUGGUUCUUUAAUAGCUGUUACCAUGUGAUUGUUAACCAGCAGGCACGAGUUACCAGGUGACCCCCCAAGUGACCUAUGGGCUCCUUGCACAGCCACCCUAUAAAACCAGGCUACAAGCUCUCUCUUCCAGCAUUCUUGCUCCUGCUGAGGUCCAGUGCAUUCGUCUCAGACUGUGUCCAGAGCAUUGGAGGCCUCAAGCCUAAAGUCUGCAGCCACAAAGUCAGCUCAAGUAAGCUCAAAGUCAUCUUCAUGUCAAUUGUCAAGUCAGUCAAGUCUUCUAUAUAGUCACCGUGGCCUGCACUAAAGUGUCUCUACAUACUGCAAGUCCCAGCAAGCCUGCAAGGUCCCCCUGUGUCACUGGUCACCUCCUUGGGAUUCUGGCUGUACUGCAUAGACUGUGUCAUCUGUCUAACCUCAGUAAAGCUACCGUUUGUUCGUAACUUGGCAUCGGUGUCUUCAUUGCCUCCGUGCCUAGCCCAGGACUAGCGGUAUUACCUUCGGGUGGUUAAGGCUAAACCAUGCCCUGGCAUCACAACAAGAAGGGGUUAACACCUGCCCCUUGGGUUAUAACAUCUACCCUGCAUUGCACCCCACAGACACCACAGCUGUAUAACACACAGGCCACAUAUUGCCCUACAUUAAACCUAUCAAUGUCACUGCAAGUCACCUUUGCUUUCAUGUCAUUUGCGGAAAUGUUAGAAAUGAUAUCCUAAAAAAAAAAGCUAAUUCAACUAUGUUUUAUAAAAUAUGUGCUUUGUUAUUUGACUUUUUUUUUGCAGAGAUAUCGGAAAUUCAUUACUCAAUGCAUAUACUUGCUUUCUGAUAUUCAGUGAUCUAUGUUUGGAUAUAUAUGUGACAGUGGGAUCCUUGUAGAGUGGGUGGUCUUAAGGGAGUAGCUGAUCAGAUCUCUAGGAAACGUGGUGCAAUUCUUCGAAAGCAUAAACGUAACUGUUAUCUAAUACCAGUGAUAGAAUGGCUGGUAUAUACAACUGAUUGUACAGAGCAUCAAUAUCAUUUAUAGAGCCAUGACGGACUUGUUGCUAAUUGUUUUUCAGUGUUGCUGUCCUUUUGUGGAAGGUCUGACAGGCCCCGCCUGGACAAAGCUUCUGAACCGACCAUAUAUGGGCAUAGAGCCUUUGAACAUGUUCACGCUUACAAUCACAUUUAUAAAACAGCGUGCAACACUGACAUCUUGUGUCCUUACAGAGCUGCAGUUUUGUUGGAUAUUGACUGGGACCAUGGUGGGUAUAUGGAUCGUCAUAUGGCUGCUGGAUUACAUCCAGUAAGUUAUUGUCAUCAUUUAUGAAUUACACUUAUCUUGUCUCUAUCAUGUGAAUCAGCCAUUAUGGACACUGCUCUUACUGUAUAGAACUGUCUCAUCUUUAUAACACCUUCACUAUUUCUUUUCUAGGCAGAAAAUUAUGGAUUGGCUAGAAGUUUUAAGUAUAUAUUAACACGUGUCUUACCUAGAAUUCCACAUUCACACUAUAAAGCAAAGCAGAGGAAGGAGAGAGAAAUAAAGAAGAGGAUAAGGUGGAGGCGGGAGCAGGAGAGGAGAAAGAGGAUUGAAUGAGAGCGGAGGAUGGAGGAUGGACUAUUGGUGCAUGACAGAUAGAUAAAUACAUAGAUACAUACAUAGCUAAAUAGGUAGAUAGAUAUGAACUAGAUAUAUACAUAGCUAAAUAGGUAGAUAGAAAUGAGACAAAUAGAUAGAUCUUGAGUACUUUAAAACACUAAGUUCACACUAUUGUGAAUAUUCUUAAAGGAGUACUCUGGAAAAAAUAUUUAUUUAUUUUUUAUUUACCAACAUGCCCAGGCUGCCUGCAUUAAAAAAAAACUAUACUUACCUCCUAUGCUCUCCUGUUGCCUGCAGUAUCGCUGUCCCGGCCUGCGGUGUUAUUCUCUUCCCGAUUCUGGUGCCUCAGUUCAGACUCAGUUCUCAACUAUAUCACUCAAAAAAGUGUAUGAUGGAUGGAUGGUUCAGAUGAAAAACAUUAACUUUCCAGACCAAUUAAGGUUAUAAUAUUUAAUGUAAGAAAUAGCAAAACAAUCCUAAAAUCACAGCCGUAGGGCCCUACGGCUGUGUGAGAUAGAAAUUAAUGUUGUUAUUAUUAUAAAUAAUUUUUAUCACAAAUGGUAGAUAUGCCCUGGGGAAUAAGAAUAUUGCUCACAUCUAGUGGAUCAAAUAGACUAUUGAUAUAUAAUGUUAUAUGAUAUAUUCCUGCAGAGAAGAUAUAACAGCAAUAAAGUGCAACAGCAAUAUAGGAUUGAUAUAUCUGCGGAAUCUGUAGGCGCUAUAUAAAUAAAUAAAUAAAAUAUCCCUGCAAGGAAUUAUAUCCCUGCAAAAAAAGUAGCAACAAUUAAAUACAGCAACCGUGUCCCUGCGAACAAAAAUGUAGCAACAGUAUGUCGAUAUAGCAACAGUAGCAUGCCGGCUUGGGAUGAAAAAAGAGACUAUAGAUGAUCCUGUAAAUGGAUAGCAAAUAAUAAACCAGUCUUAUGUAGCAGAAUUGUAUAGUAGAAUAAAUCCUGCAAAGGAAAAUCAAUACUGAGCGCUUGAGAGUUCUGUGCAGAGUGAGAAUCAAACACCCCACAUAGAGGCUAUGAGCCCGGCUGGCAUGACCUGCUGUGCCAAAGAUAGAAGAACGACACAGGCACCGAAGUGCCACUCACCCACUCCGCGUUGGUCCCGAUGUCUGGGCUGUCCUGCUCUAGCUCUACCCCUGGGGUUUAGCUGGUGAAAUGAGUUUUUGCAGAUUGGAUUGUGUCUGUAUUACAAUAUAUAAUGAUGUAUUUACUCACCAUCUCUCUUAGGCUGCAUUCACACCAUGAUUGCAGCCUACAGCUGCCAGAUCCGUCUGGGGACAGGAAAACCGGGCGCUCCCAUACCCCAGUCGGACUGGCAC